CAGCAGUGACACUGUGCAUCCCUGGCAUCUGCCUUUUGGUGUAGGCUAAAGCAACUGAAGUGUCUGCUUUCACACUCAAGUGCUUUGAAGACAGAGACCACAGAGCAUUAGCUCUCAGCUUUGGAGACAUGAACUUUCCUUUUGUUGGACAAAGUGAGCUUUGUUGCAUAAAACUUUGGUUUGGAACUAACACUUACUCUGGAGCAAAGAAUCCAUUGAAAGAGUUUGAAAAACUCCAUUCAAUAAGAUAGGACUGUGGCAAUUUCACCGGUCAUGGUGAGAGAGGAGGAAGAGGCUACCAGCAAGAUGGAAAAAUCCUACAAACAGUUGGAAAACUUACAGAAUAAAGGCCUUGAACUGAAACAUGAAGUUUCAAAUCUAAAAUACUUGAAUAUAAGCUAUAUAGA
Molecule: long non-coding RNA, 407 nt
Organism: Melospiza georgiana
Lineage: Eukaryota; Metazoa; Chordata; Aves; Passeriformes; Passerellidae
Exons: 3
Source: RefSeq, a predicted model, not a curated record